CAGUAGCCACGGGAAUCCGUAGGUGGCAAGCGUUGUCCGGAAUUAUUGGGCGUAAAGGGCUCGCAGGCGGUUUCUUAAGUCUGAUGUGAAAGCCCCCGGCUCAACCGGGGAGGGUCAUUGGAAACUGGGAAACUUGAGUGCAGAAGAGGAGAGUGGAAUUCCACGUGUAGCGGUGAAAUGCGUAGAGAUGUGGAGGAACACCAGUGGCGAAGGCGACUCUCUGGUCUGUAACUGACGCUGAGGAGCGAAAGCGUGGGGAGCGAACAGGAUUAGAGACCCGCGUAGUCCCUGUCUCUUAUAC
Molecule: ribosomal RNA, 301 nt
Filed under: uncultured bacterium
Lineage: Bacteria
Description: partial 16S ribosomal RNA
Rfam family: Bacterial small subunit ribosomal RNA
Source: RNAcentral